This 468-nucleotide ribosomal RNA is filed under the name uncultured bacterium. RNAcentral's name for it is "partial 16S ribosomal RNA". It matches the Rfam family "Bacterial small subunit ribosomal RNA", at positions 28 to 507 of the family's 1533-position model. The record is from RNAcentral.
GACGAACGCUGGCGGCGUGCUUAACACAUGCAAGUCGAACGGAAAGGCCCUGCUUUUGUGGGGUGCUCGAGUGGCGAACGGGUGAGUAACACGUGAGUAACCUGCCCUUGACUUUGGGAUAACUUCAGGAAACUGGGGCUAAUACCGGAUAGGAGCUCCUGCUGCAUGGUGGGGGUUGGAAAGUUUCGGCGGUUGGGGAUGGACUCGCGGCUUAUCAGCUUGUUGGUGGGGUAGAGGCUUACCAAGGCUUUGACGGGUAGCCGGCCUGAGAGGGUGACCGGCCACAUUGGGACUGAGAUACGGCCCAGACUCCUACGGGAGGCAGCAGUGGGGAAUAUUGCACAAUGGGCGGAAGCCUGAUGCAGCAACGCCGCGUGCGGGAUGACGGCCUUCGGGUUGUAAACCGCUUUCGCCUGUGACGAGGCGUGAGUGACGGUAAUGGGUAAAGAAGCACCGGCUAACUACGUG